CCCUCUCUCUCUCUCUCUCUGUUAUUUGGGAUUUCUGCCUAAUUGCUUGCCAUUUUUAAAUGUUUGCGGUCUGCAGGAACAGACAGUGACGGACGUCAUCGGAUUGACCUUUAAUCGGAGAAGAUUGCCGAGAUCCUGGCCAAGACCAGACCCUCCGUCCUCCUCACGCUGCGAGGCUUGAACACCGACAGUGGCAGU
Molecule: long non-coding RNA, 198 nt
Organism: Ictalurus furcatus (blue catfish)
Lineage: Eukaryota; Metazoa; Chordata; Actinopteri; Siluriformes; Ictaluridae
Exons: 3
Source: RefSeq, a predicted model, not a curated record